GCUGUGAUGGUCGAGUGGUUAAGAUGUUGGACUAGAAAUCCAAGAGGGUUUCCCUGCACAGGUUCGAAUCCUGCUCACAACA
Molecule: non-coding RNA, 82 nt
Organism: Dermochelys coriacea (leatherback sea turtle)
Lineage: Eukaryota; Metazoa; Chordata; Testudines; Dermochelyidae
Source: the annotation of a RefSeq genome assembly